This 264-nucleotide ribosomal RNA is filed under the name uncultured bacterium. RNAcentral describes it as "partial 16S ribosomal RNA". It matches the Rfam family "Bacterial small subunit ribosomal RNA", at positions 793 to 1055 of the family's 1533-position model. The record is from RNAcentral.
GUCCACGCUGUAAACGAUGAGUACUAGAUGUCGGAGGUUUUGACCCCUUCGGUAUCGCAGCUAACGCAAUAAGUACUCCGCCUGGGAAGUACGGCCGCAAGGCUAAAACUCAAAGGAAUUGACGGGGGCCCGCACAAGCGGUGGAGCAUGUGGUUUAAUUCGACGCAACGCGAAGAACCUUACCCAGGCUUGACAUCUAGAGAACCUUUACGAAAGUAAGGGGUGCCUUCGGGAGCUCUAAGACAGGUGCUGCAUGGCUGUCGU